CGUAUCACCCAAGACAACUUUGCGGAGUUGACGAUUGACGGAGCGAAGCGACGUCAAAGCGUUCAUUAAAGUCGAGUUGGCUUAGGGAUACGUUCGUUGGGUAGGGGAGCGUUCUGUAAGCCUGUGAAGGUGGCCUGUGAGGGUUGCUGGAGGUAUCAGAAGUGCGAAUGCUGACAUAAGUAACGAUAAAGCGGGUGAAAAGCCCGCUCGCCGGAAGACCAAGGGUUCCUGUCCAACGUUAAUCGGGGCAGGGUGAGUCGACCCCUAAGGCGAGGCCGAAAGGCGUAGUCGAUGGGAAACGGGUUAAUAUUCCCGUACUUGGUGUUACUGCGAAGGGGGGACGGAGAAGGCUAUGUUGGCCGGGCGACGGUUGUCCCGGUUUAAGCGUGUAGGUGUGUGUUCCAGGUAAAUCCGGUUCACUUUAACACUGAGGCGUGACGACGAGGCACUACGGUGCUGAAGCAACAAAUGCCCUGCUUCCAGGAAAAGCCUCUAAGCAUCAGGUAACAUCAAAUCGUACCCCAAACCGACACAGGUGGUCAGGUAGAGAAUACCAAGGCGCUUGAGAGAACUCGGGUGAAGGAACUAGGCAAAAUGGUGCCGUAACUUCGGGAGAAGGCACGCUGAUAUGUAGGUGAAGCGGUUUACCCGUGGAGCUGAAAUCAGUCGAAGAUACCAGCUGGCUGCAACUGUUUAUUAAAAACACAGCACUGUGCAAACACGAAAGUGGACGUAUACGGUGUGACGCCUGCCCGGUGCCGGAAGGUUAAUUGAUGGGGUCAGCGCAAGCGAAGCUCCUGAUCGAAGCCCCGGUAAACGGCGGCCGUAACUAUAACGGUCCUAAGGUAGCGAAAUUCCUUGUCGGGUAAGUUCCGACCUGCACGAAUGGCGUAAUGAUGGCCAGGCUGUCUCCACCCGAGACUCAGUGAAAUUGAACUCGCUGUGAAGAUGCAGUGUACCCGCGGCAAGACGGAAAGACCCCGUGAACCUUUACUAUAGCUUGACACUGAACAUUGAGCCUUGAUGUGUAGGAUAGGUGGGAGGCUUUGAAGCGUGGACGCCAGUCUGCGUGGAGCCGACCUUGAAAUACCACCCUUUAAUGUUUGAUGUUCUAACGUGGACCCGUAAUCCGGGUUGCGGACAGUGUCUGGUGGGUAGUUUGACUGGGGCGGUCUCCUCCUAAAGAGUAACGGAGGAGCACGAAGGUUGGCUAAUCCUGGUCGGACAUCAGGAGGUUAGUGCAAUGGCAUAAGCCAGCUUGACUGCGAGCGUGACGGCGCGAGCAGGUGCGAAAGCAGGUCAUAGUGAUCCGGUGGUUCUGAAUGGAAGGGCCAUCGCUCAACGGAUAAAAGGUACUCCGGGGAUAACAGGCUGAUACCGCCCAAGAGUUCAUAUCGACGGCGGUGUUUGGCACCUCGAUGUCGGCUCAUCACAUCCUGGGGCUGAAGUAGGUCCCAAGGGUAUGGCUGUUCGCCAUUUAAAGUGGUACGCGAGCUGGGUUUAGAACGUCGUGAGACAGUUCGGUCCCUAUCUGCCGUGGGCGCUGGAGAACUGAGGGGGGCUGCUCCUAGUACGAGAGGACCGGAGUGGACGCAUCACUGGUGUUCGGGUUGUCAUGCCAAUGGCACUGCCCGGUAGCUAAAUGCGGAAGAGAUAAGUGCUGAAAGCAUCUAAGCACGAAACUUGCCCCGA
This 1692-nucleotide ribosomal RNA is filed under the name Salmonella enterica. Its description in RNAcentral is "partial 23S ribosomal RNA". It matches the Rfam family "Bacterial large subunit ribosomal RNA", at positions 1154 to 2802 of the family's 2925-position model. The record is from RNAcentral. Lineage: Bacteria; Pseudomonadati; Pseudomonadota; Gammaproteobacteria; Enterobacterales; Enterobacteriaceae.